AAGACCUUGCGCUUUUGGAGCGGCCGAUGCCUGAUUAGCUUGUUGGUAAGGUAAAAGCUUACCAAGGCUUCGAUCAGUAGCUGGUCUGAGAGGACGACCAGCCACACUGGGACUGAGACACGGCCCAGGCUCCUACGGGAGGCAGCAGUGGGGAAUUUUGGACAAUGGGGGCAACCCUGACCCAGCCAUGCCGCGUGAGUGAAGAAGGCCUUCGGGUUGUAAAGCUCUUUCAGCCGGAACGAAACGGUUACGGAUAACACCCGUGACUACUGACGGUACCGGAAGAAGAAGCACCGGCUAACUACGUGCCAGCAGCCGCGGUAAUACGUAGGGUGCGAGCGUUAAUCGGAAUUACUGGGCGUAAAGCGUGCGCAGGUGGUUUUGUAAGUCAGAUGUGAAAUCCCCGGGCUUAACCUGGGAACU
This 423-nucleotide ribosomal RNA is filed under the name uncultured bacterium. RNAcentral's name for it is "bacterial SSU rRNA". It matches the Rfam family "Bacterial small subunit ribosomal RNA", at positions 207 to 622 of the family's 1533-position model. The record is from RNAcentral.